GCCGCCGUAGCUCAGUGGUAGAGCAUCGGACGCGUUAUUCGAAGGUCGCAGGUUCGAUCCCUGCUGGUGGCA
RNAcentral lists this transfer RNA (72 nucleotides) under Rhipicephalus sanguineus (brown dog tick). RNAcentral's name for it is "transfer RNA threonine (anticodon CGU)". It matches the Rfam family "tRNA". Rfam says of the family: Transfer RNA (tRNA) molecules are approximately 80 nucleotides in length. Their secondary structure includes four short double-helical elements and three loops (D, anti-codon, and T loops). Lineage: Eukaryota; Metazoa; Arthropoda; Arachnida; Ixodida; Ixodidae. The record is from Rfam by way of RNAcentral.